RNAcentral lists this ribosomal RNA (467 nucleotides) under uncultured bacterium. Its description in RNAcentral is "bacterial SSU rRNA". It matches the Rfam family "Bacterial small subunit ribosomal RNA", at positions 34 to 507 of the family's 1533-position model. The record is from RNAcentral.
CGCUGGCGGCGUGCUUAACACAUGCAAGUCGAGCGGAAAGGCCCUUCGGGGGUACUCGAGCGGCGAACGGGUGAGUAACACGUGAGUAAUCUGCCCUUGGCUUUGGGAUAACUACCGGAAACGGUGGCUAAUACCGGAUACGACGCACUCAGGCAUCUGAUGUGUGUGGAAAGUUUUUUCGGCCAGGGAUGUGCUCGCGGCCUAUCAGCUUGUUGGUGGGGUAAUGGCCUACCAAGGCUUCGACGGGUAGCCGGCCUGAGAGGGUGACCGGCCACACUGGGACUGAGACACGGCCCAGACUCCUACGGGAGGCAGCAGUGGGGAAUAUUGGACAAUGGGCGGAAGCCUGAUCCAGCAACGCCGCGUGAGGGAUGACGGCCUUCGGGUUGUAAACCUCUUUCAGUACCGACGAAGCGCCGAUGAUGGUGGUGACGGUAGGUACAGAAGAAGCACCGGCCAACUACGUG